GUGGGGAAUAUUGGGCAAUGGGCGAAAGCCUGACCCAGCGACGCCGCGUGGGGGAAGAAGUCCCUCGGGAUGUAAACCCUUGUUGUACGGGACGAAGGAAGUGACGGUACCGUACGAGGAAGCCCCGGCAAACUACGUGCCAGCAGCCGCGGUAAUACGUAGGGGGCGAGCGUUGUCCGGAAUCACUGGGCGUAAAGCGCACGUAGGCGGGCUGUUAAGUCGGCCGUGAAAGGCACUGGCUCAACCUGUGCAUGUCGGUCGAUACUGGCGGUCUGGAGUAUGGGAGAGGGAACUGGAAUUCCCAGUGUAGCGGUGAAAUGCGUAGAUAUUGGGAGGAACACCAGUGGCGAAGGCGCCUUUCUGGACUGUGUCUGACGCUGAGAUGCGAAAGCCAGGGUAGCGAACGGGAUUAGAAACCCGGGUAGUCC
RNAcentral lists this ribosomal RNA (428 nucleotides) under uncultured bacterium. Its description in RNAcentral is "partial 16S ribosomal RNA". It matches the Rfam family "Bacterial small subunit ribosomal RNA", at positions 354 to 796 of the family's 1533-position model. The record is from RNAcentral.